GGAGCGGUUAGCUCAAUCAGUAGAGCGUAGCGCUAACAACGCUAAGGUCUCGGGUUCGAUUCGCGUUCGGUCCC
Molecule: non-coding RNA, 74 nt
Organism: Apaloderma vittatum (bar-tailed trogon)
Lineage: Eukaryota; Metazoa; Chordata; Aves; Trogoniformes; Trogonidae
Source: Rfam